GUAAAUAUAGUUUUAACAAAAACGUUAGAUUGUGAUUCUAAAAAUAGAGGAUAAACCCCACUUAUUUACC
RNAcentral lists this transfer RNA (70 nucleotides) under Kaupichthys hyoproroides (false moray). RNAcentral's name for it is "tRNA-His". It matches the Rfam family "tRNA". From Rfam's summary of the family: Transfer RNA (tRNA) molecules are approximately 80 nucleotides in length. Their secondary structure includes four short double-helical elements and three loops (D, anti-codon, and T loops). Further hydrogen bonds mediate the characteristic L-shaped molecular structure. tRNAs have two regions of fundamental functional importance: the anti-codon, which is responsible for specific mRNA codon recognition, and the 3' end, to which the tRNAs corresponding amino acid is attached (by aminoacyl-tRNA synthetases). tRNAs cope with the degeneracy of the genetic code in two manners: having more than one tRNA (with a specific anti-codon) for a particular amino acid; and 'wobble' base-pairing, i.e. permitting non-standard base-pairing at the 3rd anti-codon position. Lineage: Eukaryota; Metazoa; Chordata; Actinopteri; Anguilliformes; Chlopsidae. The record is from RNAcentral.